This 465-nucleotide ribosomal RNA is filed under the name uncultured bacterium. RNAcentral's name for it is "partial 16S ribosomal RNA". It matches the Rfam family "Bacterial small subunit ribosomal RNA", at positions 338 to 795 of the family's 1533-position model. The record is from RNAcentral.
CCUACGGGUGGCAGCAGUGGGGGAUUUUGCACAAUGCUCGUAAGCGUGACGCAGCGACGCCGCGUGAGUGACGAAGGCCUUCGGGUCGUAAAGUUCUUUCGGCAGGGAAGAAAAUGCCUAUAAGUAACUGUGUAUGUAUUGACGGUACCUGUAUAAGCAGCCCCGGCUAACUCCGUGCCAGCAGCCGAGGUAAUACGGAGGGUGCGAGCGUUAAUCGGAAUUACUGGGCGUAAAGCGCUCGUAGGCGGUAUGUCAAGUCAAGGGUGAAAUCCCCGGGCUCAACGUGGGAACUGCCUUGGAAACUGGCAAACUGGAGUGUGUGAGAGGAUAGUGGAAUUCCAGGUGUAGGAGUGAAAUGCGUAGAUAUCUGGAGGAACAUCAGUGGCGAAGGCGACUAUCUGGCACAUAACUGACGCUGAGGAGCGAAAGCGUGGGUAGCAAACAGGAUUAGAUACCCGAGUAGUC